UAACCCCGCGCCCGCGGUUGCACCGGAGAGAGGCGGGGCGGAGGCCGCUAGGCCCCACUCGCGGCACAGCCGCCCUCCACCUGCUCCCCAGGCCGCCGCGCCCCGCACCCUCGCGGCGCGUGUACCCCACCGAGGCGCCCAGGCGGCUCCGACUCGGGGGUGAGUCUGGAGUCCCCACAGACUCUGGCCUCCCGCUUGUACCCCUCCUACCUGCUGGCCUCGGCUGCUGCCCUGGUCCCAUGAGAUCCAACCCAGGGCCGCGGGGCUAAGUCCUUGAAGGUCUCAGACUGGGGCACAGGGGAGUGGCCGGGGGCUCAGACCCCAGCGCGACCGAGCCUGGGACCUGCGGCUGCCCUGGCCUCCCCGCCAGGCCUCUGCGGGAGAGGCAGCCAGGCUUUCGGAAUGCUGCUCUGGCACUGACGCCCAUGGGGGUAGGGGACUGGCCGUGCUGGCAGGAGGCUGCAGAAGACCGGUGCCAGGCCAAGCAGGCAGCAGGGUGGGGACGGCGAGGCGAGGGGCCUGUGGACCCAGGGAAUGGCUGGGUGCCAUUGCUGGGCUGUUCCCUGGGGAUUGUCACGAAGAGGCCUUUCUGCAACCCCCACUGAGUGCUGUGCGUCUUGGUCACUGUCAGCACGCUGUCCCAUCCUCACCUCUCCUGCUGGGAGUGCUCUGAGUCACAUGCUCGCCGUCCCAGCCAGCUGCAGGAGCCCCAGCAGGCACCUGAGCCUGGGCAGCAGGACCCAUGUUCAGGUGUUCGAGGGAACGGGACAGAGAGGGGCCCUGGGGAGGCGUGGACAGCCCUAUGGUCUUCUGUGACACACAGGGCCUCCCGAAGGUACGGGCUGGGGGCGGGGCGGUGUACACGGCCAGGUGGGAGUGAGGACAGACACUGGAGAAGUCAGGGUAGGGACUCCAUGUGCUGACCGUCUGGACCCUGCACUGCCUUCCAGCUCCUCCUCCCAAUGCGCCUCACCUGGCCCAAGGUGGGUCCUGGCACUGACCUGGGAGCUGGCAGGGACUGUGGACCCAUUGGCUGGACAGACACCACCACCCAGGGCCAGCAGCAGCCAGGUCACUUUGGGUCCUUCCUGGCUUUCUCUGAAGUUGUGGCAGAUUGAGGUCUUUGGAGGCCCUGGUGACCUGGGGCUGGGCCACUGCGGGGCAGAAUCCUCUCCAGGCUGGGCUGGGCGGAGCUCUCAGGUCUGGCCACACCCCUCAGGGCUGAGAUGGACAGGUAUGGUUCCACAUUGCAGCAUAGUUUGUCCUAAGAGCCUGGGUCACGCCUUUGGUCACCCUGUGGCCUCAGAGUCCUGCCCUGUGGAAGACAGCCACCAGCCCAGGCCAGCAUGGGUUCUUCCUGCGGCAUGCAGACCUGAAGCAAUGUGGCUGUAGAUGGGGCUGGGGUCUCCAAGAGGUACAAGUACUCGUCGCUGGCUCCAAACUCGGCAUGGCCGCAGCAAGCAAGCAAGCGCUGCUGUGACCUUUUGCCAAACCCCUGGGAAAGAACAGGCCACCAAAGCCCUUCCCUGUGUGGCUGCAGUAGGCUCCCUUAGCCUUGCACCCAGAAGGUAGUGCACAAGGUGAGAACAAGUGUCUUACAGGGCACCCAGCUCCUCCUCUAUAAUUUUAAACCAAAACCUUCCGAUUUGAGAGCCCAUUGUUAAUUAAAUUCAUUAUCUGAAGUGAGAAGCGGGCUGCAUUUACCAAGAAAC
Molecule: long non-coding RNA, 1712 nt
Organism: Chinchilla lanigera (long-tailed chinchilla)
Lineage: Eukaryota; Metazoa; Chordata; Mammalia; Rodentia; Chinchillidae
Source: Ensembl